Molecule: ribosomal RNA, 383 nt
Filed under: uncultured bacterium
Lineage: Bacteria
Description: bacterial SSU rRNA
Rfam family: Bacterial small subunit ribosomal RNA
Source: RNAcentral
AUUGAACGCUGGCGGCAUGCCUUACACAUGCAAGUCGAACGGCAGCGGGCCUUCGGGUGCCGGCGAGUGGCGAACGGGUGAGUAAUGCAUCGGAACGUGCCAUUGAGUGGGGGAUAACGUAGCGAAAGUUACGCUAAUACCGCAUAUUCUGUGAGCAGGAAAGCAGGGGACCGCAAGGCCUUGCGCUCUUUGAGCGGCCGAUGUCAGAUUAGCUAGUUGGUGAGGUAAAGGCUUACCAAGGCGACGAUCUGUAGCGGGUCUGAGAGGAUGAUCCGCCACACUGGAACUGAGACACGGUCCAGACUCCUACGGGAGGCAGCAGUGGGAAUUUUGGACAAUGGGCGCAAGCCUGAUCCAGCCAUGCCGCGUGAGUGAAGAAGGCC